This is a transfer RNA of Felis catus (domestic cat), 85 nucleotides long. It matches the Rfam family "tRNA". Rfam says of the family: Transfer RNA (tRNA) molecules are approximately 80 nucleotides in length. The record is from Rfam. Lineage: Eukaryota; Metazoa; Chordata; Mammalia; Carnivora; Felidae.
GCCUGGGUGGCUCAGUCGGUUGGGCGGCUGACUUCGGCUCAGGUCAUGAUCUCGCGGUCCGUGAGUUCGAUCCCCGCCUCGGGCU